GAGAGAUACUACACUUCGUGCCACCACCAUAUACAGUGCUCCUCUCACUGACCACCAAUGAAAGAGGUGCCCCUUUUGGAAGUGUGGUGGGGGCUGGAUAAAUGGCCUCAGGGGCCGUAGUUUGGGGACCCCUGUAAUAGAGGAACAAAGGCUAUAAGAUGGACUUGAAAAGAUGAGGAAACAGGUCCAGAAAAGUUAAAUGACUUGCCCAGCAUCAAAAGGUAAUGCCUGACCAAAUUAUACUGGAAAAUGCCUGAAAUAUUGGAUAUCAACAAUAUCAGAAGGUUGGGCAACAAUGGCUAUGUUGCCCAGAAGUCUCUAACACAGAAGUCCAUCAUUAAGUCUCUAAAGAACUCAAAGGCCUUAUGCUUUUAGUAGAAGAUGAAUUCCAAGGUAAUCUAGCUAUAGUUCUCUUCUCGUCUAAGAAUCUUUCCUUUCUCUGGAUGGUUAAUAGCUUUGAUAUGAAACUCAAAAAUUCUUGGCCAAUUUGAUCACCGAUUUGUACUUGGAGAAGAAAGGAGAAAGAGAUGGCCAAUGACUCAAAAUGACCAAAGCAAGUUCACCAUCCUACCACCUUGUGAAUGGUGAUACUACUGUUGCUAGG
This 604-nucleotide long non-coding RNA is filed under the name Monodelphis domestica (gray short-tailed opossum). RNAcentral's name for it is "lncRNA (ENSMODG00000039783.1)". The record is from RNAcentral. Lineage: Eukaryota; Metazoa; Chordata; Mammalia; Didelphimorphia; Didelphidae.